This 497-nucleotide ribosomal RNA is filed under the name uncultured bacterium. RNAcentral's name for it is "partial 16S ribosomal RNA". It matches the Rfam family "Bacterial small subunit ribosomal RNA", at positions 28 to 507 of the family's 1533-position model. The record is from RNAcentral.
GAUGAACGCUGGCGGCGUGCCUAAUACAUGUAAGUCGAGCGAACAGACGAGGAGCUUGCUCCUCUGACGUUAGCGGCGGACGGGUGAGUAACACGUGGAUAACCUACCUAUAAGACUGGGAUAACUUCGGGAAACCGGAGCUAAUACCGGAUAAUAUAUUGAGCCGCAUGGUUCAAUAGUGAAAGACGGUUUUGCUGUCACUUAUAGAUGGAUCCGCGCCGCAUUAGCUAGUUGGUAAGGUAACGGCUUACCAAGGCAACGAUGCGUAGCCGACCUGAGAGGGUGAUCGGCCACACUGGAACUGAGACACGGUCCAGACUCCUACGGGAGGCAGCAGUAGGGAAUCUUCCGCAAUGGGCGAAAGCCUGACGGAGCAACGCCGCGUGAGUGAUGAAGGUCUUCGGAUCGUAAAACUCUGUUAUUAGGGAAGAACAAAUGUGUAAGUAACUAUGCACGUCUUGACGGUACCUAAUCAGAAAGCCACGGCUAACUACGUG